Long non-coding RNA from Corvus hawaiiensis (hawaiian crow), 14306 nucleotides. RefSeq lists it as uncharacterized. Lineage: Eukaryota; Metazoa; Chordata; Aves; Passeriformes; Corvidae. The transcript is spliced from 7 exons. The record is from RefSeq and is a predicted model, not a curated record.
GCUGGAGAUAAAUCAGGUAAUCAUUCCCCUGGAGGAGCUGCAGUACCAUCAGCGCUCACCUGUCUGCUCAGCAUCAGAGCCAAGCCCGUCCUCCCUCAGGCAGCUCCAGGUAUGAAUUGCACAUUUGGGGUGCUUUGGGAGAGGGGGGCCCUGGCAAUGAUGAGAAGCACUGGCAAACUCAGGCGUGGAUAAACACUGGAGAAAUAGGUGUUUAACUGGAGUGCUUUCCCUUAGAGAGGAGACCCUGCCAGGUGGGCCAAUUGCCCCAAAGGAUCUGUGUUCAGUUCCCUGCUUUGCCUCUUUUUCCUGUGCCAUCAGUCUCUUGGUCUUUGUCUGCUGCCUCCCAGCACAUCCUUCAGUGUCCUGGUCUGUACGUCGAGAAUUAAGCAGGACUUCUUCUGUUUGUCCUGUCUGUUCAAGGGAUGGGAUGGAAAGCAGGGCAAGAAGUGAGCAGUAUUUCCAUCUCCUCUGGCUCACAUCCCUGCACAGCUGCUGCUGUGGAGGAACACAAUCAUCGUUGUGGGGUGGUGUGGGCUCACCCUUUUCUCCUGCUCCAGGACAAAUCUGGGAGAGCUGGUGAGUCAGAGCUGUCUGCACCGGAGCUUGUCCUGGAGCUGCUCUGAUGGAGUUGCUGGCACCAGCCCUCCCUCGCGGCACUGCCUGCAGCUGCAGCUCCCCACUGCUUUGGGAGCAGACAGACAUUUCCAGCUCCUGGCUCUCUGCAUCUGUUCAGGAGCAGGAUAUUCUCCCAGGCUUUUGUCCGUGCAUCCACCACCUGUAAUGCUCAAGCUUGUAGGGCGUGAGCCACAGCACUCUGGUGCAAACCCUGCUUCCCCCUCUUUCCUUCCACUAACCAGAGCUUUCCCUAGAGCUGCUGGAUGUAAAUGAAGCCUUGCUGAGCUGAGGCUGUACCUGAUGCUCAGGGGGAGUUCUUCAGCAGCCAGAGAUGGAGCUUCCUUUGCCUCUGCCUUGCAUGCCUACUGCUUUGUUGUAUAAAUAAAAACCAAAUUGUUCCUUAUAGUUUGUAUUUUGUUUUGAUACUUGGUGGACUCAGAGCAUGCAGAGGAGGUACACACACAGGGAGUUCUCCAGCAUCCCAAGGGAGACCAAUAAACCUCUAAUCAGUGCUCUGGGAAAGAGGUCUCCUCUAGGUUGCUUUUGGUAUGUGUAUGACAGAAGGAUGUGAUGAUGCCUGCUUAAGAAAGGGCCCUGCUGUAGAUCCCAUCCCCAGAUCUCCCAGGCUGUUUUAAAAGACAAGGAGGAAAAGUCAUUUCAAGCUUUGCAAACUGCAGCUUGAUGCACAGAGGACUAAGAGCUCCAUCUGACCACCUUGAAAUGGUUAUCUGCUGCUCUGGACAAGACUGGGAGUUUGUCAAACUCCUGAAGAGGGCCAACACAUCAAACAGAAGGGUUGAGGCCAUUUGUGUCCUCUGGGGGCCAGAAGGACCCUGAAGACUGGACCCUGAAGACUGGAUGCCUUUGCAUAAACAACUGAAUUGAGCUGUCUUAAAUCAAACUGUCAGAGGAGAAGACUGAGACAAGAUCUCCUGCAGUAAAAGACUCGUGCCUGUUUCUGCAAAGGGCACUCACAUCACUGGAUAUUGUACAAUAUCAAAGCGUUUCUGGCCUAGGCUGCUAUGACAGCUCCUUAACAGAUAAGAAAAUAUGCCUUUAUAUUUGCCAUUUGAUUGUGAAAGGAGACAUUUUAAUCAACAUUUGUCAGCCUGUCUGAUGUGUAAGUUGUAUUUUAUUCUGUUACACCGCUCUUAUUUGUGUCCUACAGCCUGUUUGCUCACAAACAGCAGAGAUUAUCUCUUCUAUAGGGAAACUGUGGCUUUCUUCUUCUUAAUUGGGAAAAAUUCCUGCUGAAGUUCUGUCAAAAUUGAUGGGUCCCAGCUCAGGUGAGUGUCCUAGAGGUAAAAAAGGAAAAGGGGUCAGACACAAAAGUAUUUUAGAGCUAAACUCAGAACCAAGGGGACAGGGGUGGCUGGUGCAAGCGGUCCAAGAGACAGCCACCGUGUAGGAGGGACUGGGCCCCAAGGAUGUGAACCUAGUCAGACAUUGCUGGUGAAGAUGCGGGUGCAGUUGCAGCAAGGAUGUUGAAGAUGAUGGUAUUUGUGAGAUGCCCAGGAAAAAACAGCCCUGGAGGGCUGCUUCAGCCUUUCUUCUCCCUCCAUCUGCUUUUGACCUGCACAGUGAACCGUGCAACUCCCCAUCCUGUCCCAGCACCUUCGCCCAUCUCCUCUCUGUCAUGGGCACCUGCAAAUCCUACAUCCACCAGGAGAAGUGUAAGAACAGUCCUGCUGGGAUGUGGCAUGGGCCAGCUGAUGUUAUUUCCAUCCUAGGUAAAUAGGUGUUUUCAUGCAGGAAGGCACUUUGGGGUUAUGGUGACCUUGGAUAUGUUUUGACCUGUAAUUAGCUGGAGGCAGCUGUGCCUCCUGGAGAGGUGAUGUGCUCUGGGCUGUGUCCUUACCUGACUGUGUCCUAAAAUAGUCCUGUCGAUAGGGAUUCACCCAGGAUCAUGGAAGUGCUGUCUGCACUGUGUCCUGCAGCAUGGAGGAAAUGUUUGUGCAAUAAGUGUGUUGCUGCACAUCCUUCCCCUCAGACACACAGUCUGCAAUGCCUCAGCUUGAGCCCAGUGCCCUGGUCUGUCUCUGUGCUGCUGAUGCUGAGGAUGGAUUUGGUUUGUGCUAUGAAGUGUAAGCAAUGAGGACUCUCAGUGCUUCCCAAGUCUAAGAGAUUUCCAAAUUCCAAGUAAGUGCCUGGUGGCCCCCAUUUCUGCAAAAACAAAGCCAGCACCAAGGGCACCUGUUUAGGAGCAAAACACAGAGCAAGAUCUAAGGCCAUGGCUUGAUGCUAUUCCUAUGCCUUCUGUGACUGCUCAGUUAAAAGGCAUUUUUGCAGAGAAAAACGUGACACUUAAAAGGUAACAUAUUCUUUUCACCUUCCAGUUUCCAAUUCCGUUUGUAACUUUGCUCCAAGAAGUGAUCAGGGGCUGCUUUCUUUUCAGCUUAAAAUCUCUUUUUUCAUGCACUGGAUGUCAGCGCUCCCGAAAAGAUUAAAUAAGGCAGAGGUAAUGUAGAUUUAAAGAAUUUUCCAGAUGAAGUGCCAGAGCACUUUGAACUGAAGAAGAAAGAGGUUGCUGUGAGGGGACUGGUUGGUGCUGGGGGAAGGCACCGUGGAGAUUUGCUCAGCACACCCUGUGUAGGUAAAUGUGCCACGACUGUGGAGUCGUGGGGCUGGCAGAGCACUCCUAACUGCACUGUGGGGCACAGAGCAGUGCUUACAGUGUGCUGACCAAAAGCCACGUAACAGGACUCUGUCCAGUAAUGUCUCUGGGGAAAGGUCCUUCCUCAGAGGUGUGAGAGCUGCUGUCCACGACUGGGGUUGGAGGAACCUUGCUCAGCGGCCCUGGUGCUCUCACAUGACAUACGAGCAGCGCUGACGGGGCAGAGGGAACCUCCAUCCCCCUGAGCCCUUGCCCAGAGAUCCAACUCUGCCUAAAGAGCAAAACCCAUCCAAGGGGAGGUAGCAUGGGAGGAAAAGCUGGAAUUGCAACAAGUGUGCUUUCUGUGUGUGUUCUGUGGCUGUCUCAGCCAGGGAAGGGGCAUCGGAUGUCACCAGAGCCAAAUGUUGCUGCUACUGCCAGAAAAAGAGCUAUCAAGGGCAAUUUCUCCUUCUUGUCCUCCAAGGGAAAGAUUUCACCCUGCUUCAGCACUGAGGAUGUCUGGGCAAGAAGAUGAGCUGCCACAAAGGAUAAAUUACUCCUGUUAUCUCCAGAUGGAUCAGGUCUCUGACUGAUGAUACCAGCCCAUGGGGAGGAAAGUUCCAGGGAGAUUUGUGGAAGAACUUGCUCUGUAAUGCUCUCAGAAGUAACAGCUCUUCCAACAUUCCCAGACCAAAUUAAUUCAUGAAAAAUUUCUGGCAGACUAAGACUCCUGGGGUGGAGGAUUCUCACUGUUCUGGGCACGAGGCUGACUCCAAGCAUGGAGAAUCACACCUUGCAAAGGUUCAGGGUGAGUACAUCAGCUCUGAUGUUACCUGUGGCCAGCCUGCUGAAGUAUCUGCCAUGAAGGCGUUCAACACUCUGUCUCAUGGGCUGGGAACCUGCACAGACUGUCCAGGCUGGAAGUCAGAUGGGAGAACAGGGUGAUGCUGCUCUGGGGUCUGUUCCCAUGAGAUGCCAGCCUCAUGUGGCAUAGAUGUCAAGCAGCUGCUGCACUUACAGGGCUUCUUGCUUCGUGUUUCUGGGCUUCUCACUGUAUCCAAACUGCACAACUAAAACAUCUGUCUUCUGGCUUGGAUCUGACCUGGAAGCAAAACUAGAUACUAUGUUCAGAUCACCAGAGCUCAGAGGGCUUCAUCUCCAAUUCUGAUCUUUUUAUUAUCUAUUUAUUCCUCAUAUACAGUUAAUAAUUUCUGCCAGAUGCUAAAAACCCUUUGUGUCAUCUGAAACUUAGAAAACUAAUGGAGAGGAGGCUAAUAAAUACAUACAUGCAUAGCACUGCACCAUAGCUGCCUGCUCUUAGAUGAUUAUUGCAGGGACCCCCAAAUUUCAUGCUGCCGACAUAUAUUUAGACAUGAAUAUCAAUUUGAGACUUCAGUUCUGAUCAUGCUAGAUGACUCUUAACAACCAUGACCAACCUCUCCUCAAAUCAUUACCAUUCGUAUAGCCACAAAAGGCAAACUUGAUGAGAGAAUGAGAAGCUAGUAGGGUCUCAGGCUAAGCAUACAACAGUGGGAUAGCUAUAAAUGAACCUUUUCAACCAUAAAUUACAUGUGGCCAGUAAUUCCCUUUUCUCCCUCUCUCCCUCCCUCUCCAUCCUCCCCCUCCACUCUGAAAACCCUAGGACAAAGGCUUGCCUCUCUGAAGGAUGCCUUUCUGGAGGAUUAAGCAGCUUUUGUUGACAAAAUACAAAUUACAACUCCUUUGCUUGGUGUCCCGCCUUCUCAGCUGGGCUCCGGUCCCUGAGGGACAAGGCUCUAUUACCCCUGCGUAGAUGAAGAGCUCAGAAUAGGCAGAUGUAAUUAUUAACACCAUUCAAUGGAGUGUCUUUCUGAAUUAUCAAUUAAAAAUCUCUACUGUUUUUUCCUCACACUAAAUAGAAAGCUGACAGCAGUUACUCUACUGUGCAGCAGAGCUUUAUAUGCAUAUUUAAACAGUGUGCUUCUCUGCUUUUUUAUUCCAGGGGCAGUGUGGGGUGAGAGGGACUCCCAUGAGGUAGCACAAAGACCCCUGUCAUUUGAUUGAGAGAAGAGUCUUUGGAAAAAUAUUGUCGCCUUCCACCCUGGCAAACAGGUCCCGUGGAGAUAUCCAAACAGGCCUGAGAUGCCCGAUAUUGUGGGAGAUGACAAACGAGCAUUCCCUGCUCAUACACCACAGUGUGUCUGAGCAGCUCUUUUGACAUGCUGCUAUUAAAAUGCAGAGUUCAUGGGCAACAGACACAUGAGCAUGGAGUGAAAACAGAAAUUAAGCAAUGUGAUUAAAACCAACAGCCACGCCGAGCUGGGCUGCCAAGAGCUGUCAGAUUUUGGCUGAGGGGGAAGACUGAUGCACUGGGUUUUGGGGAAGGGGCUGCGAGGAUGGCUCAGGAGCAGGAGAUCAUGGGUAGAGUUUUGUUUUGCUGCCCCGCAAGUACAUCUCCAGUUCUCACCAGAAUAAACUGCCUUGCAAACCUCCCCAGACAGCCUGUUCCAACUCUGUUGAGAGCUUAAAAAUUUCCAUUGGUGGUACCUGGAUGUUGAGCUACCACUUAUUUAUUAUCAUGUACCAUUAACCACAAGUUACCACUUGUCAGCUCCAAAGUCCAGCCCUAACAUUCCUAAAAAUAAUUUUUUUUCUCAAAUUUUUUUUUUGAGCAACUUCUCUCCAGUCAUAGGGUUGAACCUAUUGCCUGCACAGAGCAAAACACUGAUACAUUGCUAAAUAAUAUAAAUUUUUAAAAUCUGUAUGUAUUGUGUAUGUCAUCUUUUUUCAAAAUUGUGAUUCCCACCAAAUCCACAAGUAGAGUGAAACAAAUUUUUAAACAUUGGAAAAGUGGCAUUAUGCAUAGCAGGAAUUUCCCUUCAAGGGUUUCAAUUUCCCCUUGGAGAAGUGGUGUCAACUGAAAAAGCAUCCAAAGAAAGACAAAACGAGCCAAAUUUGGGAGUAUCUCUGGGCUUGGAGAAGUAGAGUUAAAAAUGCUAUAUCAGGCAGAAAAAAUAAUAACUGCUAAGGAACUGGAAAGCAUUUGGGGCUGGACAUGUGCCUUCAGCAGUUUAGAAGCUUAUUUUAUUAGCACUUAAGUCCUAGAAGUAGCACUGAACUCUUGACAUGUUGGACCACUUCCACCUAUUGCCUAAUGCAACCCCUAUUCUCUUUUUCUAACUCUUCAGAGUUACCUAAGAGCAUGCAAUACCUGGGCUGGCAAUUUUUUUUUCCUUCUUCUUUUUAAUGAUUUGGCUCCCCUUGCCCCCAAAAGCCAGACCCCGGUAAUGGACCCUAAUGCACAUGCAAGUGUUCCCAAGCUGCACUGCUCUGCUCAAAAGCCUUUCUCCAAGAUGGAUAGCAUUUGAACUUUGUCCAAUUUUUCUUAUGUGGUAUGUGCCCUUUAUUUACUCCGUCAUGUAUAUCUCACUCCAUUUAAAAUAUUCACAGUUUGUUUUCAGAGCUAUCUGGCUGGCCUUCAGUCUGGAUUUAACAAAUGUUAGACAUUAUAUUCACUUGCAUAUAUCAGAUUUUGUCAUGAACCAGAAGGAGAAAAAAAGAAUUAAAAAAAUUGCUGUCACCAUGAUUUAAAUAACAUGUUCAGAUCCUUUAUUUUUUUGUUUUAAAUGCCUUCAUCUCUUGGCCUUAUAAGGUGCAGACUGUCUCACACUGAACUCUAGCUGGGUGGCCUCAGUCAGCCAACAGCCCUGCAAGCUCAUCCCAUUAAAGUCAUUAUGUUUACUUCUUAUUUCAACAAACCAACCUGGAUUUUGAGGCAGGAAAAAUUGAGGGAAGAAAUCCUAGGUCCGUUUCAGAGAGAAAGGGUGUGAAAUUCAGUUGCUGAUAGGCUGCAAAAUGAAAGCUCUCUGCAUUUGCUACUAAAAAUGCCUUUAAAAAAAAAAAAAAAGACAAGGGCUGUUCCUAUCCUUAUAAAAUCUAAGGGACCAAUCAGUUCAUAUCUGAGUACCACCAGUUAGAGCACCUCUGCACCAGACCUCUGGUCCCACUCCAUGAGGAGAGUGUGUGCCUUCAUAACAGCACUGAUAACCUCACUGAAAUGCUUUCAGGGGUUGGGAACACUGAGGCAUGGGCCCUUCAACAGAGAAUUGCUGGACAAGUCAGGAAGUGGACUCUGUGAAGAGCAGUGGACUGGAGGGGGACUCAAGGCUCAUGUGCACCAACAAGUAGCACCUUUCACACUUGGGACACAGUUUUGCCUCAUUGCACAGGGGAUGCCUCUGGUGCCGCAUAGACACAGUGAGACUGUGAUCCUUCUCCCAGGAAACUGCAGUCCAGGAGUCAGAGAGAAAGGACCAGAACCUGCAGACCUUGAGGCUAAAGAUGCCAGUGCAAAGGAAGGUGAUUGGAUGGCUGCAUAAAGGGGAAUGAAAUAAUGAAAACAAAGAAACCUGGGUUCCUGGUAGAGUGCUCUUGUUACUGGGCUGGGCUCAAUGUCCUCACUCCCAUUGCUGAGUGGCUGUGCCAUCAUGUCACUUAAUUUCCCCAUAUUAUCUCCUACAUUUUUCCUGGGGCAGGGGUGAGUUCUCAGUGAAGAAAGGAGCCCUCAGCAGAAUGGUUCUCCUGGACUGCAUAUAAAAAGCCACAAGUGGAUACUUGGGAGGUGUGAGGUAAUCCCUUCAGAGGUGGACACAGCCCCAGCUACCUGUGACUUCCCCGGGGCUGCCACCAUAUGCCUGAUUUCCCUCCUGUCCCACAGAUAAAUAGGACAACAAAAGGAGGAUUGAGGAAUUGACUGGAUGCAGUGUCCACGUACAUUCCAGAGAUACCGGGCACUACAAGAGCUUUUCAAAUUCAGCCAGAGAGCAGCACUAUAACAACCAGGAAGAAGAAGCUCGGCCUGGAAUUUCAGGGCAGUCAAAUUCACAGAGAUAAAGCAUGGAAAAGCAGUUAAAAUAAUUAAAACAGCAAGGCCAAUUAACCCAGAGCACAAAAUAUGGAGGGGAAGCAUAAAAAUAUGGAGGGGAAGACAUUUUCAAAUCUAUUUCCAAAUUCUUAAUUCAAUCAAACUUCUUUCAGGAAGGCAUGUUUUGAUCAUAAUAAAAGCGAUUUGUCUCAACAGGAGGAAACCAGGGUGAAAUCCCCACGGAUAGUGAUUUCCAAAAGACCUCCCCAGCUGAGGAAAUGGAUCUUUUUGAGUUUAACAGUAUCCUGAGUUCUUCAUUGUUGAGAUUUAUUUUAAUAAACUCAGUCCUGUCAGUUGUGUGCAAGAAGUGUCAGCACUAGCCUGGCAGUUUAUAGGAGAACUUUGUCCCACAAUGUCUCUGUACACAGCGAGCAAGAGAAGAGGGAGGAGAGAGUGCUGAAGUGACUCACUCCAUGGAGCUGGAGAAGAGUCCCAGCAAUGUCUCGUGGAAAGCUGCACCCUGCCACUGCUUGCAGUCGGGAAGAAUUGCUUAGCAAGCACUUAUGAGGUGAAAUAGCAAAGCAGCAAAUGCAAAUGGUUGAGCUGGAUAAACAAAAACAUCCCCGAAGCAAGCUCUGGGAAAAUGGAUUCAGGCUGCUCCAUCCCAGGGCUGUAGACUGCAUUCCUCCUCAGCAGCAGGAGCUGGCCUUGCUGCUGGCUGUGCAGGAAGAUACAGCCUGUGUUUGGAGAGGCUCUGCAGCCACUGGGAGGAAUGUGCUCAUGUACCAGCUCAAACACAGUACAAGACCCAGCACCUCUGCAGCUGAAAUUAAUGUUGAUGUACUGUUUGUAGCUUUAUCAAGCGCCAUGGCCUCAUGUCUCUGCCCUGUGGAGGAGCUGCCCAUCAUUCACCUGACACCUAAGUUAACUGAUAGUUUCCUUGAGGUCCUUGAAGGCUGAGCUGAGCAAGGUCUGACCCUCCAUAGCCAGACUCAUCCACUGUGACCCUCAGCUUUCAGAGAACAUGAGCUGAAUUUGUUGCAUCAGGAGCCUGAUACUGGGCUUUUCUUUUGGUGUUGGACUGCAUACCCACAUAACAAGGGACAACAGCUGAAAGAGACUUGAUUUAGAUUAGAUGUUAGGAUGAAAUUCUUUCCUAUGAGGGUGGUGAGAUUCUGGAAGAGGUUGCCUAGAGAAAUUGUGGGUGCCCCAUCCCUGGCAGUAUUCAGGGCCAAGCUGGGGCUUUGAGCAAACUGGUCUAGUGGAAAUGUCCCUGCCCAUGGCAGGGGUGUUGGAAAAAGAUGAUCUUUAAGGUCCCUUCCAACACAAACCAUUCUAUGAUUCUACGACAUACAUGCUGCAUAGAGACUGAUGGAUCUCUCUCUGUGACUGCCACAGAAGACAUAAUUUCCCAGCUUUUGUUUGUAGGUGAGGUGGUGCCUGUUUCUUCUCUGCAGAGGUGCCAAGCAAAGGCAUUGCUCUGACUGUCCCCAGGUCGCUCAUGGAUAUUGGGAAGCAUAUCCUGAACCACAGCACUUGGUAUCACUUUGCAUCCUGCCAGUCGUUGUGCAAUCAUGUGUCUCUGAAUUCUGUGAAAGCACCAGAACUUGGUUUCCUACCAUAACCUUCCAAACAGCAAAGCUCAAAGGUGUAAAAUGUGAUGUUAUAAUGUGCUGCUGUUUACAUGGCAGCUUUAUCAUUCAUAUUUCACUGUGGCUUGACAAGAAUCCAGGCUGCAUAGUCCUUGAUUGCAGCUGUUGCAUCCCAGGUUUGAAAACUGGGACCAUCAUUGAAUUACAUCAUUAGAGCAUUCUCAAUGCUCCCAGAACUUGCUGCUGUUAAUAUACAGGUUUUUUAAAACAUGCACAGACUGGUCUGCAUAUAAAGAGCUCCUGUAACAGAGGCACAUGUAAAACUAGUGUCCUUCCUCUGCAACUAACUUCAGUUUUUCCCCAGAUCAGCUCAGCAUUUUGGAGUACCACUAGAAUUCCAAUCCCAUGGCCUAACACCUGAGCCAGGCCUUUAGAUCCAAGGGACUCGCUCAGAAAUGUUGACAUCUCACUGUAAAAUCAAGCCUUUAAUAUCUAAAUCAACAUCUGAGCCUCAGCCUCACACAUACGAUUUUACAUUUCCCUGUAAUGUAAAAGCCUAGCUGUCCCUUUCUUUCCUAACUGAAAGCUGAAUUUUCCUACUCAUCUCUUUAUGCCAGCUGAUGGACCUUCAGCAAAACCACAGAACAUCGUGAGACCUCCAGUAAGACCAUGACAUAUCUGUCUGCGUAUAUCUGGAAAAAGAAUGUGGUCAAACUUGGGGGAAUGACUUCACAGCUUUUAUUAAAGGGUAGCGUAAUCCUCCCCUGGAUAACUGGGGAACCAUUAGAACAAGAAAUAAGCAGUGAUGAGCUGUUCCAGUUUGAGUGCUGUGGUUUGGAAGUUUUGACCCAUGAGAUAUUAAUUUCUCAGUCUAAUUACAUGAAAAUGUAUAAAUAUGAGCACUGAUGAAGAAGAGAAGCAUUCUGCUGAAAGGUGAGUGGUACUGAGUUCCCUCCCUUUUUACAAGGAAAAAAAGGUUCCUACCCUCUUAAGGGAUACUGCACAUAAUAAUAAGAGUACAAUAUAUGGAAAAAAUACAUGCACUUCCAUUUCACUAUUGUUCCAUUUUACUGCUGAGGUGGGGAACGAAGAAGUUAAAUGUUGUGAGGUCCUUUUGUGACGGUGGAUUUGGACUCCAUUGGGUCCAUCCAAUGAAAGCAGUAGCACUGUGGACCCUCAGUGCUGGGUGUUAAGUGUCAAAAUUUGGGUGGUAGAACUGCCACCAUGUUUGACUGUGUAUAAAGAAGCCAUGCCCAUGUUCAAGUGGCCAGCCUGGAUGGCUUGGGGCUCUUAGAGACUCUAAUCAAAGUGGGACAGGAAUUAUGCUGUGUUGUACAUAAUUAAGAGUAAUUUCUCUGAACCUCCUGUUAUUGUUCUCUAAAAAGUAUCAGAGAAACCUUAAUUACUUGCAACAACAACACUAAGGAAAACCCCCCAAACUACUGGAACAAUACCAUGUAGAAUAACGUGAAUUAAUUGUUAAAUUUAGUACCUCCAUGAGAAAUGCUCUAUUGAUAGCUCAGAAUUGCUCUGCCUGGAAACCACCUGAGCACUGCCUUAUUUCUAGACAUCUGUCAACACAGUUAUUAUCUAACAACAAGCAUAACAUGAAAAUAAUCGUUCUGUUUAGGGCAGGAACAUUAACUGACUGACAUUAAAUUGCAUCAAUAUCAUUAUCUCCUGUUGACUUUUUGAUAAUACGUUGAUGAACAGUUUGUGUUUUCCAGGGUGGAAAAACCUUACUUGUUUCUUAGCAGGAACUCUGCACUAAGAAGUUUUUUUUAACAGACUUCAGUCUUCUGCAGAAUGAAGAUUGGUAUGGUAGUAGAAUAACAGCUGGAUACCCACAACUCAGUUCACAGCCUGUCCAGCCUAAUUUUGAAGUUCUAGGCUGUUAAAGGUAUUUAAGCUCUUAAAAGGUGAAAAUAGGUGCUUCUUAGGUAUCUAAUUUAUACUAAAACUAAUGGGAAUUAGGCACCUUUCGUGGACUUAUCAAAAAUCAUAUAGGACUGCAGUAGCAACAGAAGCUACAAGUAACUCUAAAAUUCUGGCCUUUUUUGAUAUAAGGCAGGCUUUCCAGAACCAGUCAUUUUUAUAAUGUAAGUUUUUCCCAAAUGUUCAUUUUUCUGAGAGCCCUAGUACUCCCAUCCUAGCUGAAAAACCUCCUCUUACAAAGUGUGUUAAUGUCUCACACAUUGCUCUUCUGUGUUUGAGGCUUUUGGUCAAAUGCCACUCAAAUACUUCAUGGACCUUAGAAGCUUUCCUGCAGCAUCAGGAGUUUCACAGAGCUUGGUGCGUAAUCCCAGAGAUUUUUUUGCCCUACUAUCCCAAUUUUCAGAAGAAGCCACGUUGCUCCUGAAUAUCACAUCUUUUUAAGGACGUAAAAAUACCAUCCAAGCACUUUUGAAAAAUAAUUUUUGGGAGCAUGAGGGUGUGUGUGAAUAUUUUCAAAGUUGCAGUUUGACUAACCCAGCCGCUGCUUAGAUCAUCAAACAGGCAUGUAUUUGGGACACAGAGGCACUACAGUCCUGGCGUAUUCAGCGCAGAAUCCUCAUGGUUAUGUGAAUAAUUAUCCCUUCAUACCGGCCUAGAAAUCUUGGACAGAAAUAGCAAUCACAGCAAGGGUGCUAAGAAAUAAUUUGUACCAUACAUCUGUUAAUGUCCCUUAGCCCAGCUGGAACCUGCAUGCUUUCCUCCCUGUCUUGGGUUUCUCGAAGUGUGUUGAUGUGUAUUUAAGCCACGGGAACAGUCGAGGCAAUCAGGCACGGGGGAGACAUGAACUUCCCUGGUAUGUUGAUUCCAAACUGUGAUUUCUGUUAUCAGGAUGGGUGAGGAAGAAAAGUGUCAAGUGUCACUUGAUCUCCUGUUCUCAGCUUGUCUGGCUAAUUCAGGGAGGAGCCUCUGAGGCCAAAGCCACCCCAAAUGCAGAAGACCUAGAAGACCAUUCAGACCAACGUUCUCCAACAGGUGUCCCAUGAGAGCAAGCACCUCACUGGGAUUACACUGAUGAUACACCAACUGGAUAUGACUGACACUGAGUUUUUGAACAGAGUGAGCCAAAAGAAGAGUUUCAUAUUUUGCUUCAUCUUGGUUUUGAGAAGGACAAGAAAAGUCCCUAAGGAGUGUCAUUUCAGGACAUUAAUUGUAAAGAUGCAAGAAGGGGAGAGUAGAACAAAGCACCUCAUAUGUGGGCGUGGUUUUCUCAGAAGGUUGAACUAGAGAUCUCCUGACAUCCCUUCCAACAUACAACAACCAAUUAUCUUGUAAGGAUGCAUAAAACAACCUCGAGAGGCCCUGUUGUCCAUUGACAAGGCUAUGAAUCUAGAGACCUGGUUUUGAUCUUGUCUCUCCUCUUGAACUGUUCCACAGCCAAGACUGAGUUGCCUUUCUCCUCCAUGCCUUAGAAUAAACUCUCAUAGAAAAUGAGGGUCCACAGUACAGCCCUCCAUUGUCGAAACAGUCAAAGAGCUACUGAUGAGAACUGGAAUGUAAUGACUGGGAUUCUGUUUCUGCCAGUGCACUAAUUCCAGAACCCACACCCAAACUUAUGAAAUUACCUGUUAAAUGAUGAGACAAAAUCAUUUGUUUUAUUCUUUUUCCCUGUAUUUGUGUCCCCUGGGUGGCAACAGUGGAAAAUGCUGGCAAGGAGAGCAGACAGUAGACAAGGUCCUAUUGGCACAAAUCUGAGGGUUUUGCCUGUGUCAGUGAUGUAAGGACACCAGUCUCCUUCAAGAGAUGUGGUUUAUCAGUGGAGCUUUUGCAGUGCCUGGGACGUCAGGCUAAUGGUCUCACAUACAGAUUCUGUAAGAUGCCUUUCAUUCAUCCAGCCAAACAGGAGCUGUGCUUGUGAUGCUUUCCCAAACUGAAGGGCAUUGCUCCAUGAAUGCAAGCAAUGUUAAAGCCUGAAUAAUACACACAGUCUUCCAUUUGCAAAUUGCCUCCACCUCUCCCUUUGCCCUCCCCACCAUGUGGUUUAGCUUUUGGCUCUGCAAUAGAUACUCUGAAUCAAUGUUAGCUUUCUGAGAGACUAACACUGAACACUGAAGGUCUGAGUCAAACCCAGCCAUGUUACAAGUCCAUUGUUGGACUGUCGCUUGUUUUGGUUAUUUUUCCCUGGAGUUUUGUUAGAGAUGAACUGGACCUUUUGGCAGCAUGGACAAGCACCUCUAUUUUGUCAUUUGGUGCCCCAAAGACAUCCAUGUACUAAUCAAUCCAAACAGGAAGCCAAAAUCUUUUUAAGAGAAGAGCAUAUUGUUCAUUGUAAAUGUUUGCCUCACCAUUAGUGCACAAAAGAGAAAGCUUGGAAAUGGAAAGACGAAGGAAUAAAAAAUAGCUUGGUAAUGCAGUUUACACAGGUACAUGCAGUGUAACUACAGCUUGUGGGAACUGUGAAGCACUGUCCUCAUCUGACGUGUAUUUCAGUUUUCAGCUCGGUAAAAUCCCAGCUUUUUAAACAAGCAAAAACUUGUCCUUUUUACCAGGCUGUAAUAAAAUAUUUGUGGUGGUUUUUAUGGUGCAAGCCAUCAUUCACUUAAUACUAUCUGAAGGUCAUUUCUCCUAGGACAGAUCACAGCACAUCUCCACACUAAGAUCCCAGAGCUUGAGACUGGUGCUAGGUUGUCCACAAAGACCCCCAGAGGCCAUGUUUGUUUGUUCUGAACGG